GCCGAGGCCGACAAGACGGCCAGCAUCGUCAACCAGGAGUACAACAACGACGGCAACGGCAACUUUGCCAACAGGUUUGAAACAUCGAAUGGCAUAACUACUGUGGAAGAGGGAGUCUUCUACCCCGGUCCGGAACCCGAGUCUGGAACGUUCGCGAGGAGCGGCUUCUUCUCGUACGACUGGGAGGGCGUCACCUACAAAGUGUACUGGACGGCCGACCAGGAUGGCUUCUUAGCGACUGGCGAUCACCUGCCCAAUGGCGGCGAUGGUGAACAAUAUGGGCUUCUAUUUUAAGCACAGAAGGAAAUAAAUGAAACAUGAAAACGAUGCCCAGCAGAAGGACGAAGAAAAUGGGCGACUGAACAGCUCGAGCAUAGUCUACAUUCACUGAGCCCGUCGAGUGAAACAGUGUCAAAUAAAGCAAAACACAGCGUCCCUGUAUGAAUGAAUGAAAUAAAGCAGAGAGCAAUCAGA
Long non-coding RNA from Amphibalanus amphitrite, 474 nucleotides. RefSeq lists it as uncharacterized. The record is from RefSeq and is a predicted model, not a curated record. NCBI's taxonomy places the organism in Eukaryota, Metazoa, Arthropoda, Thecostraca, Balanomorpha, Balanidae. The transcript has 2 exons.